UCACGGCCCUCUCGAAGCUGUGUCUGUCUCGUUAUGUGGCUGAUGCGGUCAAAAAGGUGCCAAAAAUAACCUUUUCCCUUGACGGUCGCUGUCCAGUUGGUUCUCCCAUAACUGUCCAGCAACAAUUUUUGGGGAAAAACACGG
Anolis carolinensis (green anole) is the source of this 144-nucleotide small nucleolar RNA. Lineage: Eukaryota; Metazoa; Chordata; Lepidosauria; Squamata; Anolidae. The record is from Ensembl.